Molecule: transfer RNA, 85 nt
Filed under: Escherichia coli
Lineage: Bacteria; Pseudomonadati; Pseudomonadota; Gammaproteobacteria; Enterobacterales; Enterobacteriaceae
Also listed under: 6 other names
Description: tRNA-Ser
Rfam family: tRNA
About the family: Transfer RNA (tRNA) molecules are approximately 80 nucleotides in length. Their secondary structure includes four short double-helical elements and three loops (D, anti-codon, and T loops). Further hydrogen bonds mediate the characteristic L-shaped molecular structure. tRNAs have two regions of fundamental functional importance: the anti-codon, which is responsible for specific mRNA codon recognition, and the 3' end, to which the tRNAs corresponding amino acid is attached (by aminoacyl-tRNA synthetases). tRNAs cope with the degeneracy of the genetic code in two manners: having more than one tRNA (with a specific anti-codon) for a particular amino acid; and 'wobble' base-pairing, i.e. permitting non-standard base-pairing at the 3rd anti-codon position.
Source: RNAcentral
GGAAAGAUGGCAGAGUGGUCGAUUGCGGCGGUCUUGAAAACCGUUGAACCGAGAGGUUCCCGGGGUUCGAAUCCCUGUCUCUCCG